RNAcentral lists this ribosomal RNA (492 nucleotides) under uncultured bacterium. RNAcentral describes it as "partial 16S ribosomal RNA". It matches the Rfam family "Bacterial small subunit ribosomal RNA", at positions 29 to 507 of the family's 1533-position model. The record is from RNAcentral.
AGUGAACGCUGGCGGUAGGCCUAACACAUGCAAGUCGAACGGCAGCACAGUAAGAGCUUGCUCUUACGGGUGGCGAGUGGCGGACGGGUGAGGAAUACAUCGGAAUCUACUUUUUCGUGGGGGACAACGUAGGGAAACUUACGCUAAUACCGCAUACGACCUACGGGUGAAAGCAGGGGAUCAUCGGACCUUGCGCGACUGAAUGAGCCGAUGCCGGAUUAGCUAGUUGGCGGGGUAAAGGCCCACCAAGGCGACGAUCCGUAGCUGGUCUGAGAGGAUGAUCAGCCACACUGGAACUGAGACACGGUCCAGACUCCUACGGGAGGCAGCAGUGGGGAAUAUUGGACAAUGGGCGCAAGCCUGAUCCAGCCAUGCCGCGUGAGUGAAGAAGGUCUUCGGGUUGUAAAGCCCUUUUGUUAGGAAAGAAAAGCAGCAGGUUAAUCCCCCGCUGUUCUGACGGUACCCAAAGAGUAAGCACCGGCUAACUUCGUG